Molecule: ribosomal RNA, 1346 nt
Filed under: uncultured bacterium
Lineage: Bacteria
Description: partial 16S ribosomal RNA
Rfam family: Bacterial small subunit ribosomal RNA
Source: RNAcentral
GACGAACGCUUGCGGCGUGCUUAACACAUGCAAGUCGAACGGAAAGGCCCUGCUUUUGUGGGGUGCUCGAGUGGCGAACGGGUAAGUAACACGUGAGUAACCUGCCCUUGACUUUGGGAUAACUUCAGGAAACUGGGGCUAAUACCGGAUAGGAGCUCCUGCUGCAUGGUGGGGGUUGGAAAGUUUCGGCGGUUGGGGAUGGACUCGCGGCUUAUCAGCUUGUUGGUGGGGUAGUGGCUUACCAAGGCUUUGACGGGUAGCCGGCCUGAGAGGGUGACCGGCCACAUUGGGACUGAGAUACGGCCCAGACUCCUACGGGAGGCAGCAGUGGGGAAUAUUGCACAAUGGGCGGAAGCCUGAUGCAGCAACGCCGCGUGCGGGAUGACGGCCUUCGGGUUGUAAACCGCUUUCGCCUGUGACGAAGCGUGAGUGACGGUAAUGGGUAAAGAAGCACCGGCUAACUACGUGCCAGCAGCCGCGGUGAUACGUAGGGUGCGAGCGUUGUCCGGAUUUAUUGGGCGUAAAGGGCUCGUAGGUGGUUGAUCGCGUCGGAAGUGUAAUCUUGGGGCUUAACCCUGAGCGUGCUUUCGAUACGGGUUGACUUGAGGAAGGUAGGGGAGAAUGGAAUUCCUGGUGGAGCGGUGGAAUGCGCAGAUAUCAGGAGGAACACCAGUGGCGAAGGCGGUUCUCUGGGCCUUUCCUGACGCUGAGGAGCGAAAGCGUGGGGAGCGAACAGGCUUAGAUACCCUGGUAGUCCACGCUGUAAACGGUGGGUACUAGGUGUGGGGUCCAUUCCACGGGUUCCGUGCCGUAGCUAACGCUUUAAGUACCCCGCCUGGGGAGUACGGCCGCAAGGCUAAAACUCAAAGGAAUUGACGGGGCCCCGCACAAGCGGCGGAGCAUGCGGAUUAAUUCGAUGCAACGCGUAGAACCUUACCUGGGUUUGACAUGGAUCGGGAGUGCUCAGAGAUGGGUGUGCCUCUUUUGGGGUCGGUUCACAGGUGGUGCAUGGCUGUCGCCAGCUCGUGUCGUGAGAUGUUGGGUUAAGUCCCGCAACGAGCGCAACCCUUGUUCACUGUUGCCAGCACGUUAUGGUGGGGACUCAGUGGAGACCGCCGGGGUCAACUCGGAGGAAGGUGGGGAUGACGUCAAGUCAUCAUGCCCCUUAUGUCCAGGGCUUCACGCAUGCUACAAUGGCUGGUACAGAGAGUGGCGAGCCUGUGAGGGUGAGCGAAUCUCGGAAAGCCGGUCUCAGUUCGGAUUGGGGUCUGCAACUCGACCUCAUGAAGUCGGAGUCGCUAGUAAUCGCAGAUCAGCAACGCUGCGGUGAAUACGUUCCCGGGGCU